Molecule: ribosomal RNA, 57 nt
Filed under: uncultured Acaulosporaceae
Lineage: Eukaryota; Fungi; Glomeromycota; Glomeromycetes; Diversisporales; Acaulosporaceae
Description: partial 28S ribosomal RNA
Rfam family: Eukaryotic large subunit ribosomal RNA
Source: RNAcentral
UGACCUCAAGUCAAGUAAGAAUACCCGCUGAACUUAAGCAUAUCAAUAAGCGGAGGA